GAUGAACGCUGGCGGCGUGCUUAACACAUGCAAGUCGAACGAAGCACUUUAUUUGAUUUCCUUCGGGACUGAUUAUUUUGUGACUGAGUGGCGGACGGGUGAGUAACGCGUGGGUAACCUGCCUUGUACAGGGGGAUAACAGUUGGAAACGGCUGCUAAUACCGCAUAAGCGCACAGCAUCGCAUGAUGCAGUGUGAAAAGCUCCGGUGGUAUAAGAUGGACCCGCGUUGGAUUAGCUAGUGGGUGAGGUAACGGCCCACCAAGGCGACGAUCCAUAGCCGACCUGAGAGGGUGACCGGCCACAUUGGGACUGAGACACGGCCCAAACUCCUACGGGAGGCAGCAGUGGGGAAUAUUGCACAAUGGGCGAAAGCCUGAUGCAGCGACGCCGCGUGAGCGAAGAAGUAUUUCGGUAUGUAAAGCCCUAUCAGCAGGGAAGAUAAUGACGGUACCUGACGAAGAAGCACCGGCUAAAUACGUG
This 481-nucleotide ribosomal RNA is filed under the name uncultured bacterium. RNAcentral describes it as "partial 16S ribosomal RNA". It matches the Rfam family "Bacterial small subunit ribosomal RNA", at positions 28 to 507 of the family's 1533-position model. The record is from RNAcentral.